Molecule: ribosomal RNA, 1306 nt
Filed under: uncultured bacterium
Lineage: Bacteria
Description: bacterial SSU rRNA
Rfam family: Bacterial small subunit ribosomal RNA
Source: RNAcentral
AACGUACGCUGGCGGCACGCCUAACACAUGCAAGUCGAGCGAAGUAUCAAUACUUAGUGGCAGACGGGUGAGUAACAUGUAGGUAUCUGCCCUUUGGCCUGGAAUAACACGAGGAAACUUGUGCUAAUACCGGAUAAGUCUUUACGGAGAAAGCUUUAUGCACCAUUGGAUGAGCCUGCACUUGAUUAGUUUGUUGGUAGGGUAAUGGCCUACCAAGACUGUGAUCAAUAGCUGAUUUGAGAGGAUGAUCAGCCACAUUGGGACUGAGACACGGCCCAAACUCCUACGGGAGGCAGCAGUGGGGAAUCUUGCACAAUGGAGGAAACUCUGAUGCAGCGAUGCCGCGUGAGUGAAGAAGGCCUUUGGGUUGUAAAGCUCUUUCGUCGGGGAAGAAAAUGACUGUACCCGAAUAAGAAGGUCCGGCUAACUUCGUGCCAGCAGCCGCGGUAAUACGAAGGGACCUAGCGUAGUUCGGAAUUACUGGGCUUAAAGAGUUCGUAGGUGGUUGAAAAAGUUGGUGGUGAAAUCCCAGAGCUUAACUCUGGAACUGCCAUCAAAACUUUUCAGCUAGAGUUUGAUAGAGGAAAGCAGAAUUUCUAGUGUAGAGGUGAAAUUCGUAGAUAUUAGAAAGAAUACCAAUUGCGAAGGCAGCUUUCUAGAUCAUUACUGACACUGAGGAACGAAAGCAUGGGUAGCGAAGAGGAUUAGAUACCCUCGUAGUCCAUGCCGUAAACGAUGUGUGUUAGACGUUGGAAAUUUAUUUUCAGUGUCGCAGCGAAAGCGAUAAACACACCGCCUGGGGAGUACGACCGCAAGGUUAAAACUCAAAUGAAUUGACGGGGACCCGCACAAGUAGUGGAGCAUGUGGUUUAAUUCGAAGAUACGCGCAGAACCUUACCAACACUUGACAUGUUCGUCGCGACUCUAAGAGAUUAGAGUUUUCGGUUCGGCCGGACGAAACACAGGUGCUGCAUGGCUGUCGUCAGCUCGUGUCGUGAGAUGUUGGGUUAAGUCCCGCAACGAGCGCAACCCUCACUUUUAGUUGCCAUCAUUAAGUUGGGCACUCUGAAAGAACUGCCAGUGAUAAGCUGGAGGAAGGUGGGGAUGACGUCAAGUCCUCAUGGCCCUUACGUGUUGGGCUACACACGUGCUACAAUGGUAUCUACAACAGGAAGCAAGACUGCGAAGUUAAGCAAAUCCCUAAAAGAUACCUCAGUUCGGAUUGCACUCUGCAACUCGAGUGCAUGAAGCUGGAAUUACUAGUAAUCGUGGAUCAGCGUGCCACGGUGAAUGCGUUCCCGGGUCU